CUGAUGGGGGGGGAUAACUACUGGAAACGGUAGCUAAUACCGCAUAACGUCGCAAGACCAAAGAGGGGGACCUUCGGGCCUCUUGCCAUCGGAUGUGCCCAGAUGGGAUUAGCUUGUUGGUGGGGUAACGGCUCACCAAGGCGACGAUCCCUAGCUGGUCUGAGAGGAUGACCAGCCACACUGGAACUGAGACACGGUCCAGACUCCUACGGGAGGCAGCAGUGGGGAAUAUUGCACAAUGGGCGCAAGCCUGAUGCAGCCAUGCCGCGUGUAUGAAGAAGGCCUUCGGGUUGUAAAGUACUUUCAGCGGGGAGGAA
RNAcentral lists this ribosomal RNA (317 nucleotides) under Escherichia coli. Its description in RNAcentral is "bacterial SSU rRNA". It matches the Rfam family "Bacterial small subunit ribosomal RNA", at positions 130 to 449 of the family's 1533-position model. Lineage: Bacteria; Pseudomonadati; Pseudomonadota; Gammaproteobacteria; Enterobacterales; Enterobacteriaceae. The record is from RNAcentral.